CUUGGUGGCUUUAGYGGAGAGGAAGAAAAGCAAAAAUAUCUGGAUUGUGGUCUGUAACUGAGCUAAUGCCAAAGAUAGUCAAAGACACCAGAGAACUCGACCGAGGCUAAGGAUCUUCUUGCAAACAGUGACAGUCAACAUCCUCAACAGUAUUACAAAUGACUUAAUGCUUUGAACACGUACCACGUUGGGAAGAAACACGCCUAGAGAAAUCAUAAAAACUGUGUCAGCUGAGAGCUUCAGUAAGAAGCACCACRGGAUCUCUGCCGCUUCAUUCCUGUGAACAAACUGGACAUGCUUUCCCUGGUAAGGACAGGCAAGCAUGUUACAAGAGC
Long non-coding RNA from Nothoprocta perdicaria, 335 nucleotides. RefSeq lists it as uncharacterized. The record is from RefSeq and is a predicted model, not a curated record. The transcript is spliced from 3 exons. NCBI's taxonomy places the organism in Eukaryota, Metazoa, Chordata, Aves, Tinamiformes, Tinamidae.